This 74-nucleotide transfer RNA is filed under the name Aureimonas phyllosphaerae. Its description in RNAcentral is "tRNA_Arg_CCT". It matches the Rfam family "tRNA". From Rfam's summary of the family: Transfer RNA (tRNA) molecules are approximately 80 nucleotides in length. Lineage: Bacteria; Pseudomonadati; Pseudomonadota; Alphaproteobacteria; Hyphomicrobiales; Aurantimonadaceae. The record is from RNAcentral.
GGUCUCAUAGCUCAGCAGGAUAGAGCACCAGAUUCCUAAUCUGGGGGUCGUAGGUUCGAAUCCUACUGAGAUCG